UACGACUAUACCAGGUUGAAACACCGGUUCCCUUAUGAUCACCAAAGUUAAGCAACGUCUAGCUUCGUCAAUACCUAGAUGAGUGACCGGUUGGGGAUACUAGGUGCUGUAAG
Acanthosepion pharaonis is the source of this 113-nucleotide non-coding RNA. The record is from the annotation of a GenBank genome assembly. NCBI's taxonomy places the organism in Eukaryota, Metazoa, Mollusca, Cephalopoda, Sepiida, Sepiidae.